CUGAGAAAGCUGUUAGUUCAAUUAGUCACCUUGUCUGCUUGCAUAAAACAAACCCGACUCCCAUAAGCUGGCUGGAGCAUCCAUUCAUCUUGAGAUACAGUGUUUUGUGUGUAUCUGAUGGUCCUAAAAGAAGUAGCCUGAGCACAUCCCUGAACCAAGAAGCGGGCGAGGAGACCACUUGUCCACAAAGAGCUUUAGAAAAAUAGGUUCACAAUGAACAACCAGGAGGGGCAGGUUUUAGGAGCAGGGAAUGAACUUCUUUCUCCAGGGUGUGUAUUUUUUUCAGCUUGUAAGGAGAAAAGUUAGCAAAUGACAUUGCCCAGAAAAAGAACUGUUGCAUAAGGAAACUGAAAGAGAAUGCCAGUGUGCCAAGUAAGACGGGCUUUAUCUCUAGCUCUGGAUCAGAUAGAACAGUAGGGGAGGAGAGGUGAAAGCUGGUAGCAGGAAGUGAUCACAGAUAAAUGACUCUUGAGGUUGGGAGAGGAGUCUAGAAAGCACAGGCCAGAAUUUGUUGGCCUCCUCCCAUAGGCAGUACCUGUGGGCUUGCACUACAGAGGGCACCUUUGCAGAGGGUUAUUCAUUCUUUCAUCUAAUCAUUUAUAUUUCAUUCAUUGAUUUGUUUAUCUUUUGUCUUUUUAGGGCCACACCCACUAGGAGUUGAAUCAGAGCUGCAGCAACCAGCCUACACCACAGCCACAGCAAUGCGGGAUCUGAGCCACAUCUGAGUCCCUGUCAGUGGAAAUGCAGUGUGUUCCAAGCUGAGGCUUUCAGAGAUGGCAAGUUCCCUACAUGCUCGCUCAUGUCCUUCUCAUUCAUCGUGACCCGAGCAUGAUGUAAGUCUCAGAAUAAGACUCCGUGGAGCAGACCUGAACCCCACCAACAGCCUGAAACCAAGCUCAGCCAAGCCCAGCAACGCAUCACAGAGACGUAGUUGACUCACACACCUAAAACACAUGGGAAUCCAGAUAAAGUAACACAGUAUCAUAUCUGGACUGGUUUCCUGGUUGCUGAGCAUAGCAUCAUAGACCAGAAAUGUAGAGAUGCCCUAAGAGAUCCUGUUCCCUGUGAGAGAAAGAGUAGCCUCCACAGAUGUCAGCUUAGUCAUUGCAUUUUAUGUAGUUCCUGCACCUGGAGAUUCCUGCAACCUCUUACUGGCUCUGACGUGAGUAAUUCUUU
Molecule: long non-coding RNA, 1176 nt
Filed under: Sus scrofa (pig)
Lineage: Eukaryota; Metazoa; Chordata; Mammalia; Artiodactyla; Suidae
Description: lncRNA (ENSSSCG00070029267.1)
Source: RNAcentral